AUGCAAAUGUAUGCCUCCCUUUUUCCAUGGUGCCGUGUCUUCUCAUCUCAUUUUGCCCCGGUUCACCUGCACGCACGCACGCACGACGAGCGGAAACCGGUGGGACGUCGCUGUGGAGUUGUUAACGAGUGGUCGCUGCUCCUUGAUUUGACUAGGCCGGAGCACGAUCGCCAAGAUCAGCUGCUCGCCACGAAAUUGGCCGUCAAUUCGAGGAGGAAUCCUCGCAGCUUUGGCUUCUUCUCCGCAUUUCUGAUUCCAUCCUCUCGCAUUGCUUUCCGUCUCGACUGUGUGUGUUCCAAUGGCGACUCGCGUCGCUUCCUGGGCCCCUCGGCUCGAGUGGCUGCUGACGCAAUGCGGAUCCAGACAUCGCAUCAGCAGCGUUGGGUGCGUGCGUGCGUGCGUGGCGGUCAAUGGCGGCCGGCCUCGCUAGUCGGUGUCAGUGAGGUCAAACUGGUCCGUGCCGGAGCGGGACAGCACGCGGCGGGCGGUCCCGGAGCGGGAGACCGGCGCCGUCGAGCAGGCCGCGAGCGCGCGCUCCAGGGCGUCCACCACCUCGGUCAUGGACGGGCGCUCGCAGCCGACGGGGCCCACGCAGUCGGCGGCGAGGUAGCCGACGUAGGCCAGCGCCUCGGCCUCGUGCGGCGUCGGAGCGGGGAGGCGCGGGUCGAGCACGCGCGCGACGUCGUCGGCGAGGAUGUGCGGCACGGUGAAGUCCACCACGUUCUUGGGGGUCACGCUCUCGGCGUACCGCUGCACGACGCGGCAGCCGGACAUGAGCUCCAGCAGCACCACGCCGAAGCUGUACACGUCGCUCUUGUCCGUCAGGUGCUGCAGCCUGUAGUACUCUGGGUCCAUGUACCCCACCGUGCCGCCGGUGUAGAUCGUCCGCUGCUGCUGCUGCUCCUGCUGCUGCGGGUUGUCCUCGCAGUCGCCGGCGGGGUCCAGGACCGAGGACAGCCCGAAGUCGGCGAUCUUGGCCGUCCACGAGUCGUCCAUGAGGAUGUUGGCGGACUUGAUGUCGCGGUGGAUGAUGGGCGGCACGGCGUAGACGUGCAUGUACUCGAUGCCGCGCGCGGCGCCCAGCGCGAUGGUGAGCCGCCCGCGCCACGACAGCACCGGCGCCGCCAUGGGGCUGCGGUCGUGGAGCUGGUCGUGGAGGGUGCCGUUCAUCAUGAACUCGUACACCAGCACGCGCUCGCCGGACUCGGCGCAGCACCCCAGCAAGCACACGAUGUUCUUGUGGUUGGCGCGCGCCAGAGCAAUCAGCUCCGAGUUGAAGGCUGUCUCGCGGUCGCGCCGGCGCGCCGGCCGCGCCGCCGAGCUCGACGACUUGGCGUGAUCCUCGGCACGUUUUAUCGCCACCUCCCGCCCGUCCGGGAGCGUGCCGCGGUACACCGACCCGAAGCUCCCUGA
Molecule: ribosomal RNA, 1413 nt
Filed under: Triticum aestivum (bread wheat)
Lineage: Eukaryota; Viridiplantae; Streptophyta; Magnoliopsida; Poales; Poaceae
Description: partial small subunit ribosomal RNA
Source: RNAcentral